This 888-nucleotide ribosomal RNA is filed under the name Lactiplantibacillus plantarum. Its description in RNAcentral is "bacterial SSU rRNA". It matches the Rfam family "Bacterial small subunit ribosomal RNA", at positions 56 to 921 of the family's 1533-position model. Lineage: Bacteria; Bacillati; Bacillota; Bacilli; Lactobacillales; Lactobacillaceae. The record is from RNAcentral.
UGCAAGUCGAACGAACUCUGGUAUUGAUUGGUGCUUGCAUCAUGAUUUACAUUUGAGUGAGUGGCGAACUGGUGAGUAACACGUGGGAAACCUGCCCAGAAGCGGGGGAUAACACCUGGAAACAGAUGCUAAUACCGCAUAACAACUUGGACCGCAUGGUCCGAGUUUGAAAGAUGGCUUCGGCUAUCACUUUUGGAUGGUCCCGCGGCGUAUUAGCUAGAUGGUGGGGUAACGGCUCACCAUGGCAAUGAUACGUAGCCGACCUGAGAGGGUAAUCGGCCACAUUGGGACUGAGACACGGCCCAAACUCCUACGGGAGGCAGCAGUAGGGAAUCUUCCACAAUGGACGAAAGUCUGAUGGAGCAACGCCGCGUGAGUGAAGAAGGGUUUCGGCUCGUAAAACUCUGUUGUUAAAGAAGAACAUAUCUGAGAGUAACUGUUCAGGUAUUGACGGUAUUUAACCAGAAAGCCACGGCUAACUACGUGCCAGCAGCCGCGGUAAUACGUAGGUGGCAAGCGUUGUCCGGAUUUAUUGGGCGUAAAGCGAGCGCAGGCGGUUUUUUAAGUCUGAUGUGAAAGCCUUCGGCUCAACCGAAGAAGUGCAUCGGAAACUGGGAAACUUGAGUGCAGAAGAGGACAGUGGAACUCCAUGUGUAGCGGUGAAAUGCGUAGAUAUAUGGAAGAACACCAGUGGCGAAAGCGGCUGUCUGGUCUGUAACUGACGCUGAGGCUCGAAAGUAUGGGUAGCAAACAGGAUUAGAUACCCUGGUAGUCCAUACCGUAACGAUGAUGCUAGUGUUGGAGGGUUUCGCCCUUCAGUGCUGCAGCUAACGCAUAGCAUCGGCCUGGGGAGUACGCGCAGCUGAACUCAAGGAAUUGACGGGGGCC